CACGUAGGCGGAUAUUUAAGUCAGGGGUGAAAUCCCAGAGCUCAACUCUGGAACUGCCUUUGAUACUGGGUAUCUUGAGUAUGGAAGAGGUAAGUGGAAUUCCGAGUGUAGAGGUGAAAUUCGUAGAUAUUCGGAGGAACACCAGUGGCGAAGGCGGCUUACUGGUCCAUUACUGCGCUGAGGUGCGAAAGCGUGGGGAGCAAACA
RNAcentral lists this ribosomal RNA (206 nucleotides) under uncultured bacterium. RNAcentral describes it as "partial 16S ribosomal RNA". It matches the Rfam family "Bacterial small subunit ribosomal RNA", at positions 568 to 774 of the family's 1533-position model. The record is from RNAcentral.